UACAGAGGUCUCAAGCGUUGUUCGGAUUCAUUGGGCGUAAAGGGUGCGUAGGUGGCGCUGUAAGUCGGGUGUGAAAUUUCGGAGCUUAACUCCGAAACUGCAUUCGAUACUGCGGUGCUUGAGGACUGGAGAGGAGACUGGAAUUCAUGGUGUAGCAGUGAAAUGCGUAGAGAUCAUGAGGAAGACCAGAGGCGAAGGCGGGUCUCUGGACAGUUCCUGACACUGAGGCACGAAGGCCAGGGGAGCAAACGGG
Molecule: ribosomal RNA, 253 nt
Filed under: uncultured bacterium
Lineage: Bacteria
Description: partial 16S ribosomal RNA
Rfam family: Bacterial small subunit ribosomal RNA
Source: RNAcentral